AUACGGAGGGGGUUAGCGUUGUUCGGAAUUACUGGGCGUAAAGCGUACGUAGGCGGAUUGGAAAGUAUGGGGUGAAAUCCCAGGGCUCAACCCUGGAACUGCCUCAUAAACUCCCAGUCUAGAGUUCGAGAGAGGUGAGUGGAAUUCCGAGUGUAGAGGUGAAAUUCGUAGAUAUUCGGAGGAACACCAGUGGCGAAGGCGGCUCACUGGCUCGAUACUGACGCUGAGGUACGAAAGUGUGGGGAGCAAACAGGAUUAGAUACCCUAGUAGUCC
RNAcentral lists this ribosomal RNA (274 nucleotides) under uncultured bacterium. RNAcentral describes it as "partial 16S ribosomal RNA". It matches the Rfam family "Bacterial small subunit ribosomal RNA", at positions 523 to 796 of the family's 1533-position model. The record is from RNAcentral.